AAACCAACAGGGAUUGCCUCAGUAACGGCGAGUGAAGCGGCAAAAGCUCAAAUUUGAAAUCCCCCCGGGGAGUUGUAAUUUGAAGAUUGCGUCUUGGAGGCGACCGUGUCUAUGUUCCUUGGAACAGGACGUCACAGAGGGUGAGAAUCCCGUGCGGCACGGCCCCCGGCUCCUUAUAAGGCGCUCUCGACGAGUCGAGUUGUUUGGGAAUGCAGCUCAAAGUGGGUGGUAAAUUCCAUCUAAAGCUAAAUACGGGCGAGAGACCGAUAGCGAACAAGUACGGUGAUGGAAAGAUGAAAAGCACUUUGAAAAGAGAGUGAAACAGCACGUGAAAUUGUUGAAAGGGAAGGGCAUGCCGUCAGAUUGUCAGUGUGGGUAAGAAGCGGGGUACAAAGACUGUGGAACGUGGCCCUCGGGUGUUAUAGCCGCAGUUCAUGCCCCGUCUCUUUCCGAGGCCUGCUUUGAGGACACCGACGUAAUGACGGUACGCCGC
RNAcentral lists this ribosomal RNA (493 nucleotides) under Kodamaea ohmeri. RNAcentral describes it as "eukaryotic LSU rRNA". It matches the Rfam family "Eukaryotic large subunit ribosomal RNA", at positions 62 to 648 of the family's 3401-position model. Lineage: Eukaryota; Fungi; Ascomycota; Pichiomycetes; Serinales; Debaryomycetaceae. The record is from RNAcentral.